GGGAGGCAGCAGUGAGGAAUAUUGGUCAAUGGCCGGAAGGCUGAACCAGCCAAGUAGCGUGCAGGAUGACUGCCUUAUGGGUUGUAAACUGCUUUUUUACGGGAAUAAUUAUGAUCACGUGUGAUUAUUUGCAUGUACCGUAAGAAUAAGGAUCGGCUAACUCCGUGCCAGCAGCCGCGGUAAUACGGAGGAUCCUAGUGUUAUCCGGAUUUAUUGGGUUUAAAGGGAGCGUAGGCGGGAGGUCAAGUCAGCUGUGAAAUGUAUCUGCUUAACGGGUACACUGCAGUUGAAACUGGUUUUCUUGAGUGCGUAAGAGGCAGGCGGAAUUCGUUGUGUAGCGGUGAAAUGCUUAGAUAUGACGAGGAACUCCUAUUGCGAAGGCAGCUUGCUGGGUCGUUACUGACGCUGAUGCCCGAAGGUGCGGGGAUCAAACAGGAUUAGAUACCCUGGUAGUCCGCACAGUAAACUAUGGAUACUCUCUGCCGGCGAUACAUUGUCGGUGGCCAAGCGAAAGCGUUAAGUAUCCCACCUGGGGAGUACGUUCGCAAGAAUGAAACUCAAAGGAAUUGACGGGGGCCCGCACAAGCGGAGGAACAUGUGGUUUAAUUCGAUGAUACGCGAGGAACCUUACCCGGGUUUGAAUUGCUGAUGGCGGUAUUUGGAGACAGAUACUUCCCUUCGGGGCGUCAGUGAAGGUGCUGCAUGGUUGUCGUCAGCUCGUGCCGUGAGGUGUCGGCUUAAGUGCCAUAACGAGCGCAACCCUUGCCGUUAGUUGCCAUCGGGUCAUGCCGGGCACUCUAUUGGGACUGCCAUCGUAAGAUGUGAGGAGGGUGGGGAUGACGUCAAAUCAGCACGGCCCUUAUGUCCGGGGCGACACACGUGUUACAAUGGGGGGUACAGUGGGAAGCUACCUGGCGACAGGUUGCGGAUCCCCAAAUCCUUUCUCAGUUCGGAUCGGAGUCUGUAACUCGACUCCGUGAAGUUGGAUUCGCUAGUAAUCGCGCAUCAGCCAUGGCGCGGUGAAUACGUUCCCGGGCCUUGUACACACCGCCCGUCAAG
This 1059-nucleotide ribosomal RNA is filed under the name uncultured bacterium. Its description in RNAcentral is "bacterial SSU rRNA". It matches the Rfam family "Bacterial small subunit ribosomal RNA", at positions 343 to 1401 of the family's 1533-position model. The record is from RNAcentral.